CGUAGCGAAAGUUACGCUAAUACCGCAUACGAUCUAAGGAUUGAAAGCGGGGGGAUCGCAAGACCUCGCGCGAUUGGAGCCGGCCGAUAUCAGAUUAGGUAGUUGUGAGGUAAAGGCUCACCAAGCCAACGAUCUGUAGCUGGUCUGAGAGGACGACCAGCCACACUGGAACUGAGACACGGUCCAGACUCCUACGGGAGGCAGCAGUGGGGAAUUUGGACAAUGGACGCAAGUCUGAUCCAGCCAUUCCGCGUGCAGGAUGAAGGCCCUCGGGUUGUAAACUGCUUUUGUACGGAACGAAAAGGUUUCUAUUAAUACUAGGAGCUCAUGACGGUACCGUAAGAAUAAGCACCGGCUAACUACGUG
This 366-nucleotide ribosomal RNA is filed under the name uncultured bacterium. Its description in RNAcentral is "bacterial SSU rRNA". It matches the Rfam family "Bacterial small subunit ribosomal RNA", at positions 147 to 507 of the family's 1533-position model. The record is from RNAcentral.